RNAcentral lists this non-coding RNA (32 nucleotides) under Syntrophotalea carbinolica DSM 2380. The record is from RNAcentral. Lineage: Bacteria; Pseudomonadati; Thermodesulfobacteriota; Desulfuromonadia; Desulfuromonadales; Syntrophotaleaceae.
GCGCGGCUGUUAUGUCCACCGCCGGUUCUGCC